Molecule: long non-coding RNA, 1119 nt
Organism: Triticum urartu
Lineage: Eukaryota; Viridiplantae; Streptophyta; Magnoliopsida; Poales; Poaceae
Source: RefSeq, a predicted model, not a curated record
UUUCCUUCGUUCACCUAGAGAGACAGGGGUAACGAGAAAAGGGGGCCAGGCCGUUCGCCGCCUCCACCCGCCGAUCCCUCGCCGCCCCGCCGUCGUCCGUCGCCGCCAUCCUCCACUGGCCGUCAUCGACGCACCUCCCAUGGCCGCGGUUUGAUUCGGUCGUCAGUGGCUCCAUCCCCACUGCAGCGUCUCCUCUCCUCUCCACCCCCAUCUUGCCCUAUCCCCUGUCAUCCCUUUCAUCCUCCUCUUAGAUGGGGUACAUCGCCUUGAUCUCCUCCACGGUCGCCUGAAGCAACUCCCUCACAAACCCUAGCCACCACUGUCUCCAACGAUGGCGGAUGCCGGCGAGCAGCGUGGAAGCCGCUGGUGCUGUACGGAGACUGACGACGCGUGACACACGACGGCCAUACACUUAAGGGUUGUUGGUGCAGGCAAUGGAUACGAAGUACCAAGCCAGUUGAUAUGAACUUGCGAUUUUCAUGUUAUUAGUCCUCUACUACUAUCUCUCAAGCUGGAGGUGAUUGCAAAUUUCUGCAUGAGCCUCAGAUUCCUUCAUAUUGCACUAAUUAUAUAAUCAGCAAAUGGAUUCAUGAUGAGGUAACCCGCAUGGUCAAUUUGCUUAAGAAAGAGAAAAUCAUUCAAUUAUAUGAAUUCAGCAAAUCUUUUCUAUUAUGAUUAAAUCUGAGUAGUCUAUCAGGUAGCAACAUCCUCUGCUUCAUGUUUUAAUCAUAAAGCUUGAGCUGUCCAAACUCGAAAAGUUCGGUGUGGUGUCAAUAUAAGUGUGUGUGUGUGUGUGUGUAAAUUUGGACAGGAAAUACAAAAAUCUGAUUGCGGAUAGACUGUAUAUGGAAAUGAUGCUGUAAAUCUGCUUAUAAUAAUUUUCUGAUACACAGAUUUGUUCAGACGGGCUCAUUUUUUCAGUCAAAAGUUGCUUCCCCAUUUCGUUGCAGAAAUUUUGGAUUGCAUAAUAAUAACCUUCAGAAUAGUAAUUUCCACUAUAGAGUCUUCUCAUGAUGAUUUCAGGUUAAUUAUUAAUAACUGCUAUUUGGUCAUUUCAUAGAAUGCUUCUGCUAUCAAUCAUAUUGUCAGUCGGAUUGAUUCACUCAUUUUUAGGCAAUA